GACGAACGCUGGCGGCGUGCUUAACACAUGCAAGUCGAACGGAAAGGCCCUGCUUUUGUGGGGUGCUCGAGUGGCGAACGGGUGAGUAACACGUGAGUAACCUGCCCUUGACUUUGGGAUAACUUCAGGAAACUGGGGCUAAUACCGGAUAGGAGCCCCUGCUGCAUGGUGGGGGUUGGAAAGUUUCGGCGGUCGGGGAUGGACUCGCGGCUUAUCAGCUUGUUGGUGGGGUAGUGGCUUACCAAGGCUUUGACGGGUAGCCGGCCUGAGAGGGUGACCGGCCACAUUGGGACUAAGAGACGGAGCAGACGCGUAUGGUAGGCAGCAGGGGGGAAUAUUGCACAAUGGGCGGGAGCCUGAUGCGGCAGCGCCGCGUUCGGGAUGACGGCCUUCGGGUUGUGAACCGCUUUCGCCUGUGACGAAGCGUGAGUGACGGUAAUGGGUGAAGAAGCACCGGCUAACUACGUG
Molecule: ribosomal RNA, 468 nt
Filed under: uncultured bacterium
Lineage: Bacteria
Description: partial 16S ribosomal RNA
Rfam family: Bacterial small subunit ribosomal RNA
Source: RNAcentral